UACGAAGGGGGCGAGCGUUGUUCGGAAUUACUGGGCGUAAAGGGCGCGUAGGCGGCCGAUCAAGUCAGAUGUGAAAGUCCUGGGCUUAACCUGGGGACUGCAUUUGAUACUGAUUGGCUUGAAUUCGGGAGAGGAUAGCGGAAUUCCCAGUGUAGAGGUGAAAUUCGUAGAUAUUGGGAAGAACACCGGUGGCGAAGGCGGCUAUCUGGACCGACAUUGACGCUGAGGAACGAAAGCUAGGGGAGCAAACAGG
RNAcentral lists this ribosomal RNA (253 nucleotides) under uncultured bacterium. Its description in RNAcentral is "partial 16S ribosomal RNA". It matches the Rfam family "Bacterial small subunit ribosomal RNA", at positions 524 to 776 of the family's 1533-position model. The record is from RNAcentral.